CUUUCGUACGAGAUGGUUCCGACGUAACGGACCAAUUUACAAAUGCUAACGAAAGUUACGCACUUGCUGCUUAAUUAACUUUGUUAAUUAAGUUACGGGGUUUGGGGCACCUGGCAACAGAACGCCCCUUACA
This 133-nucleotide transfer-messenger RNA is filed under the name Candidatus Pelagibacter sp. TMED106. RNAcentral's name for it is "partial transfer-messenger RNA". It matches the Rfam family "Alphaproteobacteria transfer-messenger RNA", at positions 186 to 355 of the family's 355-position model. From Rfam's summary of the family: Bacterial tmRNA, also known as 10Sa RNA or SsrA, is named for its dual tRNA and mRNA-like properties. Its role is to liberate the mRNA from a stalled ribosome. To accomplish this part of the tmRNA is used as a reading frame that ends in a translation stop signal. Lineage: Bacteria; Pseudomonadati; Pseudomonadota; Alphaproteobacteria; Candidatus Pelagibacterales; Candidatus Pelagibacteraceae. The record is from RNAcentral.